AGUGAACGCUGGCGGUAGGCCUAACACAUGCAAGUCGAACGGCAGCACAGUAAGAUCUUGCUCUUACGGGUGGCGAGUGGCGGACGGGUGAGGAAUACAUCGGAAUCUACUUUUUCGUGGGGGAUAACGUAGGGAAACUUACGCUAAUACCGCAUACGACCUACGGGUGAAAGCAGGGGAUCUUCGGGCCUUGCGCGAUUGAAUGAGCCGAUGUCGGAUUAGCUAGUUGGCGGGGUAAAGGCCCACCAAGGCGACGAUCUGUAGCUGGUCUGAGAGGAUGAUCAGCCACACUGGAACUGAGACACGGUCCAGACUCCUACGGGAGGCAGCAGUGGGGAAUAUUGGACAAUGGGCGAAAGCCUGAUCCAGCCAUACCGCGUGGGUGAAGAAGGCCUUCGGGUUGUAAAGCCCUUUUGUUGGGAAAGAAAAGAAGCAGGUUAAUACCCCGCUGUUCUGACGGUACCCAAAGAAUAAGCAUCGGCUAACUUCGUG
RNAcentral lists this ribosomal RNA (492 nucleotides) under uncultured bacterium. RNAcentral's name for it is "partial 16S ribosomal RNA". It matches the Rfam family "Bacterial small subunit ribosomal RNA", at positions 29 to 507 of the family's 1533-position model. The record is from RNAcentral.